ACGAACGCUGGCGGCGUGCUUAACACAUGCAAGUCGAACGGUGAAGCGCCUUCCUUUUUGGUGGGUGCGGAUGAGUGGCGAACGGGUGAGUAACACGUGAGUAACCUGCCCCCUUCUUCUGGAUAACCGCAUGAAAGUGUGGCUAAUACGGGAUAUUCUGGGUCUGUCGCAUGAUGGGUCUGGGAAAGAUAUUGUUUCGGUGGGGGAUGGGCUCGCGGCCUAUCAGCUUGUUGGUGGGGUGAUGGCCUACCAAGGCGGUGACGGGUAGCCGGCCUGAGAGGGUGGACGGUCACACUGGGACUGAGACACGGCCCAGACUCCUACGGGAGGCAGCAGUGGGGAAUAUUGCACAAUGGGCGCAAGCCUGAUGCAGCGACGCCGCGUGAGGGAUGGAGGCCUUCGGGUUGUGAACCUCUUUCGCCAGUGAAGCAGGCCUGCCUCGUUUGUGGGUGGGUUGACGGUAGCUGGAUAAGAAGCGCCGGCUAACUACGUG
RNAcentral lists this ribosomal RNA (493 nucleotides) under uncultured bacterium. RNAcentral describes it as "partial 16S ribosomal RNA". It matches the Rfam family "Bacterial small subunit ribosomal RNA", at positions 29 to 507 of the family's 1533-position model. The record is from RNAcentral.